AAUGAACGCUGGCGGCGUGCCUAACACAUGCAAGUCGAAUGUGCCGCAAGGUGCAUGGCAGACGGGUGAGUAACGCGUGGGCAAUCUACCUUUUCGUGGGGAAUAACGAUCCGAAAGGAUUGGUAAUACCGCAUGAGACCAAUGGCUGGGAUGCUGUUGGUGAAACCUGGGGACCGCAAGGCCUGGGGCGAAAAGAGGAGCCUGCGUCUGAUUAGCUAGUUGGCGGGGUAACGGCCCACCAAGGCGACGAUCAGUAGCCGGCCUGAGAGGGUGAUCGGCCACACUGGAACUGAGACACGGUCCAGACUCCUACGGGAGGCAGCAGUGGGGAAUUUUGCGCAAUGGACGAAAGUCUGACGCAGCAACGCCGCGUGGGUGAUGAAGGUCUUCGGAUUGUAAAACCCUGUCGCAGGGGAAGAAUAAGCAUCGGUAUAAUACGCCGGUGCCCUGACGGUACCCUGCAAGAAAGCACCGGCUAACUCCGUGCCAGCAGCCGCGGUAAU
This 503-nucleotide ribosomal RNA is filed under the name uncultured bacterium. Its description in RNAcentral is "bacterial SSU rRNA". It matches the Rfam family "Bacterial small subunit ribosomal RNA", at positions 29 to 524 of the family's 1533-position model. The record is from RNAcentral.